RNAcentral lists this ribosomal RNA (865 nucleotides) under human gut metagenome. RNAcentral describes it as "bacterial SSU rRNA". It matches the Rfam family "Bacterial small subunit ribosomal RNA", at positions 658 to 1520 of the family's 1533-position model. The record is from RNAcentral.
AGACUGGAAUUCCCGGUGUAACGGUGGAAUGUGUAGAUAUCGGGAAGAACACCAAUGGCGAAGGCAGGUCUCUGGGCCGUCACUGACGCUGAGGAGCGAAAGCGUGGGGAGCGAACAGGAUUAGAUACCCUGGUAGUCCACGCCGUAAACGGUGGAUGCUGGAUGUGGGGACCAUUCCACGGUCUCCGUGUCGGAGCCAACGCGUUAAGCAUCCCGCCUGGGGAGUACGGCCGCAAGGCUAAAACUCAAAGAAAUUGACGGGGGCCCGCACAAGCGGCGGAGCAUGCGGAUUAAUUCGAUGCAACGCGAAGAACCUUACCUGGGCUUGACAUGUUCCCGACAGCCCCAGAGAUGGGGCCUCCCUUCGGGGCGGGUUCACAGGUGGUGCAUGGUCGUCGUCAGCUCGUGUCGUGAGAUGUUGGGUUAAGUCCCGCAACGAGCGCAACCCUCGCCCUGUGUUGCCAGCACGUCGUGGUGGGAACUCACGGGGGACCGCCGGGGUCAACUCGGAGGAAGGUGGGGAUGACGUCAGAUCAUCAUGCCCCUUACGUCCAGGGCUUCACGCAUGCUACAAUGGCCGGUACAACGGGAUGCGACACCGCGAGGUGGAGCGGAUCCCUUAAAACCGGUCUCAGUUCGGAUUGGAGUCUGCAACCCGACUCCAUGAAGGCGGAGUCGCUAGUAAUCGCGGAUCAGCAACGCCGCGGUGAAUGCGUUCCCGGGCCUUGUACACACCGCCCGUCAAGUCAUGAAAGUGGGUAGCACCCGAAGCCGGUGGCCCAACCUUUUGGGGGGAGCCGUCUAAGGUGAGACUCGUGAUUGGGACUAAGUCGUAACAAGGUAGCCGUACCGGAAGGUGCGGCUG